AUUGAACGCUGGCGGCAGGCCUAACACAUGCAAGUCGAGCGGAUGAAGGGAGCCUGCUCCUGGAUUCAGCGGCGGACGGGUGAGUAAUGCCUAGGAAUCUGCCUGGUAGUGGGGGAUAACGUCCGGAAACGGGCGCUAAUACCGCAUACGUCCUGAGGGAGAAAGUGGGGGAUCUUCGGACCUCACGCUAUCAGAUGAGCCUAGGUCGGAUUAGCUAGUUGGUGGGGUAAAGGCCUACCAAGGCGACGAUCCGUAACUGGUCUGAGAGGAUGAUCAGUCACACUGGAACUGAGACACGGUCCAGACUCCUACGGGAGGCAGCAGUGGGGAAUAUUGGACAAUGGGCGAAAGCCUGAUCCAGCCAUGCCGCGUGUGUGAAGAAGGUCUUCGGAUUGUAAAGCACUUUAAGUUGGGAGGAAGGGCAGUAAGUUAAUGCCUUGCUGUUUUGACGUUACCAACAGAAUAAGCACCGGCUAACUUCGUG
RNAcentral lists this ribosomal RNA (484 nucleotides) under uncultured bacterium. RNAcentral's name for it is "partial 16S ribosomal RNA". It matches the Rfam family "Bacterial small subunit ribosomal RNA", at positions 30 to 507 of the family's 1533-position model. The record is from RNAcentral.